GAUGAACGCUGGCGGCGUGCCUAAUACAUGCAAGUCGAGCGAACGGACGAGAAGCUUGCUUCUCUGAUGUUAGCGGCGGACGGGUGAGUAACACGUGGAUAACCUACCUAUAAGACUGGGAUAACUUCGGGAAACCGGAGCUAAUACCGGAUAAUAUUUUGAACCGCAUGGUUCAAAAGUGAAAGACGGUCUUGCUGUCACUUAUAGAUGGAUCCGCGCUGCAUUAGCUAGUUGGUAAGGUAACGGCUUACCAAGGCAACGAUGCAUAGCCGACCUGAGAGGGUGAUCGGCCACACUGGAACUGAGACACGGCCCAGACUCCUACGGGAGGCAGCAGUAGGGAAUCUUCCGCAAUGGGCGAAAGCCUGACGGAGCAACGCCGCGUGAGUGAUGAAGGUCUUCGGGUCGUAAAACUCUGUUAUUAGGGAAGAACAUAUGUGUAAGUAACUGUGCACAUCUUGACGGUACCUAAUCAGAAAGCCACGGCUAACUACGUGCCAGCAGCCGCGGUAAUACGUAGGUGGCAAGCGUUAUCCGGAAUUAUUGGGCGUAAAGCGCGCGUAGGCGGUUUUUUAAGUCUGAUGUGAAAGCCCACGGCUCAACCGUGGAGGGUCAUUGGAAACUGGAAAACUUGAGUGCAGAAGAGGAAAGUGGAAUUCCAUGUGUAGCGGUGAAAUGCGCAGAGAUAUGGAGGAACACCAGUGGCGAAGGCGACUUUCUGGUCUGUAACUGACGCUGAUGUGCGAAAGCGUGGGGAUCAAACAGGAUUAGAUACCCUGGUAGUCCACGCCGUAAACGAUGAGUGCUAAGUGUUAGGGGGUUUCCGCCCCUUAGUGCUGCAGCUAACGCAUUAAGCACUCCGCCUGGGGAGUACGACCGCAAGGUUGAAACUCAAAGGAAUUGACGGGGACCCGCACAAGCGGUGGAGCAUGUGGUUUAAUUCGAAGCAACGCGAAGAACCUUACCAAAUCUUGACAUCCUUUGACAACUCUAGAGAUAGAGCCUUCCCCUUCGGGGGACAAAGUGACAGGUGGUGCAUGGUUGUCGCCAGCUCGUGUCGUGAGAUGUUGGGUUAAGUCCCGCAACGAGCGCAACCCUUAAGCUUAGUUGCCAUCAUUAAGUUGGGCACUCUAAGUUGACUGCCGGUGACAAACCGGAGGAAGGUGGGGAUGACGUCAAAUCAUCAUGCCCCUUAUGAUUUGGGCUACACACGUGCUACAAUGGACAAUACAAAGGGCAGCGAAACCGCGAGGUCAAGCAAAUCCCAUAAAGUUGUUCUCAGUUCGGAUUGUAGUCUGCAACUCGACUACAUGAAGCUGGAAUCGCUAGUAAUCGUAGAUCAGCAUGCUACGGUGAAUACGUUCCCGGGUCU
Molecule: ribosomal RNA, 1372 nt
Filed under: uncultured bacterium
Lineage: Bacteria
Description: bacterial SSU rRNA
Rfam family: Bacterial small subunit ribosomal RNA
Source: RNAcentral